Molecule: non-coding RNA, 20 nt
Filed under: Arabidopsis thaliana (thale cress)
Lineage: Eukaryota; Viridiplantae; Streptophyta; Magnoliopsida; Brassicales; Brassicaceae
Source: RNAcentral
UGUCAUUGAUUUCACCUUGG